This 963-nucleotide long non-coding RNA is filed under the name Homo sapiens (human). RNAcentral describes it as "HSALNT0349942". The stretch from base 346 to 482 matches the Rfam family "Pvt1 oncogene conserved region 7". Lineage: Eukaryota; Metazoa; Chordata; Mammalia; Primates; Hominidae. The record is from RNAcentral.
AUUGAAGGAUCUGUUAACACUUGAUAUACCCAAUAAAAGCAGUGGUUGUGCCAGUGCUGAUCUGUCUUGAUGUGAAUGUGAACAAUGGGAACCUGAGCUGAGCAGUUAAUGCUAGGGUGACAGAAACUGGACCUCUCCCAAGACAUGUGACAGAGUAAUACAGCAGCCAACUUCUUCGCCAAAUUAAAGUUUUACAAGAUUUAACCUGUCAUCAAGACCUGGGAUUUUGGUGAGCCAGUCUUGGUGCUCUGUGUUCACCUGGUUCAUCUGAGGAGCUGCAUCUACCCUGCCCAUGCCAUAGAUCCUGCCCUGUUUGCUUCUCCUGUUGCUGCUAGUGGACAUGAGAAGGACAGAAUAACGGGCUCCCAGAUUCACAAGCCCCACCAAGAGGAUCACCCCAGGAACGCUUGGAGGCUGAGGAGUUCACUGAGGCUACUGCAUCUUGAGACUCAGGAUGAAGACCCAGCUUGGGGCUGUCAAAGAGGCCUGAAGAGGCAGAACACCCCAGAGGAGCCUGGGGCCACCACCCAGCAUCACUGUGGGAAAACGGCAGCAGGAAAUGUCCUCUCGCCUGCGUGCUCCACCUCGGUCCACGCCUUCCCUCCUUCUGGAAGCCUUGCCUGACCACUGGCCUGCCCCUUCUAUGGGAAUCACUACUGACCUUGCAGCUUAUUAUAGACUUAUAUGUUUUUUGCAUGUCUGACACCCAUGACUCCACCUGGACCUUAUGGCUCCACCCAGAAGCAAUUCAGCCCAACAGGAGGACAGCUUCAACCCAUUACGAUUUCAUCUCUGCCCCAACCACUCAGCAGCAAGCACCUGUUACCUGUCCACCCCCACCCCUUCCCCCAAACUGCCUUUGAAAAAUCCCUAACCUAUGAGCUUUGAAUAAGAUGAGUACGAACUUCAUCGCCCACGUGGCGUGGCCGGCCUCGUGUCUAUUAAAUUCUUUUUCUACUACAA